Molecule: ribosomal RNA, 507 nt
Filed under: Triticum aestivum (bread wheat)
Lineage: Eukaryota; Viridiplantae; Streptophyta; Magnoliopsida; Poales; Poaceae
Description: partial small subunit ribosomal RNA
Source: RNAcentral
AUGUGCCAUGUGGCACGCCAGGACCACAAAGCAGACCUAAUGUUCCGGCUCUAUGCACCUCCCCGAUCCAUAUUUCUGACCUCCACAGCCCCCACAAGGGCACACACUGCUCGUCGAACUCAAGCGCACGAACGCCAAGUACCGUGGCUGACGGCGACGGCGAAUAAGAUGGUGAGCAGCACCAACGAGGUGCGGAGGACGGUGCAGGAGAGGCCGGUGGUGGUGGUGGGGCGGCCGGAGUGCUGCCUGGCGGUCGUGGCCCGGCACCUGCUCCUGCGGCAGGGCGUGAACCCGACGGUGCUGGAGGUCAGCUACGACGCCGACCCGGCGGCGCUCGUCUACGCGCUCCGGUCCAAGGACGACAACACCAAGUUGGUCACCGACGUCGCCUUACCGGUGGUGUUCGUCGGAGGUAGGCUGUUGGGUGGGCUGGACCGACUCAUUACCAUGCACAUCGCCGAAGAGCUCGUGCCGCUCCUGAGGCAGGCAGGAGCCCUGUGGCUCUGA